Myxocyprinus asiaticus (Chinese sucker) is the source of this 4197-nucleotide long non-coding RNA. RefSeq lists it as uncharacterized. The transcript is spliced from 3 exons. The record is from RefSeq and is a predicted model, not a curated record. Lineage: Eukaryota; Metazoa; Chordata; Actinopteri; Cypriniformes; Catostomidae.
UUGUUUUGUCCAUUUUUGCAAGAGGAAGGUUUGCCUUAGUGAUUGUUUUAGGGCUCAUGACAUUAGGACACAAAAACAACAGCAAGAAAUAAGUACAUAAUGCUCUGCAUAGAUAUUCCCAUUGCAAUGAGAAUGGGAAAGAAUGAAUGUUGAUUGUGUAUUAUAAAAUGUAUUGUUUGCAAUAGAAAUUCUUGAAAACAUAUUUCCAUACACAAACCAUAUUCAGGGCACAUGGGUGCCCAUUAAUGAAAAUAAUAAUAUUUUUUUUGUUUUUAAUCAUAUACCCCAAGCCAAAACUAAAAUUGGUCAUAAUAGUGUUUAGCUGUGAUUAAUACAAUGGCUUCACACAUUCAGGCUACACGUGCAUUACAAUGAAUUGUUAGUCUUAUCUUAGAAAUGUCUGUUGAGCAAUUUGCUCUUUUGAAGUCGCCGUACUCCAUACAGAAAUCAGAUAACUGGCAAUAUAUGCAAAACACAUAUAUAAACCAUUUGUUCAAAUGUGCAUACUUGUACAUACAGUACAUGCAACAUAUAUUUAAAAAAAAAAAAGUAAAAUAGCCAUUUUCAUAUAUGUAACAUACUGUGUAUUUUCCCAAAUACUAUUGGAGUUUGAAUAUGUACAUAUCUGCUCAAAUAUAUGAACUGUAAUAUCUAAUUAUCAUAAAUCAGAUUUCUGUGUGGUUAUUAAACUGACUCGAAACAAUCUGCUUUCUUCACGUCUAGGAAACAAACCAUUUGUUUCCCAUCUGGACGUACUCAUAUCUGGCCCUCCACUGCCCAGUAUUCAUGUUGACUGACUUACUGAGAAACAAACCUCUAAUUGUAACUCAAGGUCUCUUUCUAGUCAUAAAUUGUAUACUUCUUUGCUUUGCUCACAGCCUGACUGCUAUGACCUACUUGCAGUUCAACUAUGCAAUGGUCACCUCCACUGAGGUGGCCUACUUUUCUUAUAUUUACAGUGCCAUACCUCCUGAACGCUACCAAAAGUAAAGCCAGUCAACAUGGCAAGUGCCAUGUUGACUGGCUUUACUUUUGGGGCCACAUUAGGGCAGUUGUUAAUAUCAUUAGCCAGUACAAACUACUUCCAUGUAAACAUUAUUACUCUAGGUCUAAUGGGGGUGGCUUUCCUUAUUUCAUUGGGCCUACCAGUGCCCCAGCAUGGGAUGUUUUUCAAAAGUGGAGUGGAGGCAUGAAGCCUGAUCACAAAAGACUUUACUAAUCCUAAACACUAUCAAAAGUGUAAAAAAUCUGCUAUCUUUAUAGUGAAAGAGGGUAUAAAACUGACAUCUGGAACAUGCCCAGCCAAACCAGUCCUGAUUUAUUCAUAAAUAAUUUGUCUAAUCAUCAAAUGUGUUGAGCAGAAGUCUGUCAAUGCCUCUCUUAAACGGAUAGUUCACUCAAUUGAAAAUUCUCUCAUCAUUUACUCGCACUAAUUUCAUCCCAGUUGUGAAUGACUUUCUUUCCUCUGCAGAAAACAAAGAUUUUUUGUAGAAUAUCUCAGCUUUGUUGAUCCUAACAAUGCAAGUAAAUGGUGACAAGAAUUCAGAAGCUCCAAAAAGAACAUAAAGGCAGCAUAAAAGAAAUCCAUAAGACACCAGUGGAGAAAUAGAUCAACAUUUAAGUCCUUUUAAAAAAAAAAAAAAUCAUCUCCACCUUUGACCAGCCCCAACCAGUAGGUGGCUGACUGUGAAUCUGGUGUGGAAGUGACAAUGUUGAAGUGAAAGUGAAAGUGUAGAUUUACACUAAAAAAUGACUUAAAUAUUGAUCUGUCACCCACACCCAUCAUAACGCUUCUGAAGACAUGGGUUUAAACUCUGGAGUCGUAUGUAUUACUUUUACUACGACUGUCUGUCUUUUUUGGACUUUCUCAGUUCUGGUCACCAUUCACUUGCAUUGUGAGAACCAGCAGAGAUGAGAUAUUCAUCUAAAAACCUUAAUUUGUGUUCAGCAGAAUAAGGAAAGUUAUAUACAUCGGGGGUGGCAUGAGUGUGAGUAAAUGAUGAGAGAAUUUUUUUAUUUUUGGGUGAACUAUCCCUUUAAUUGUUAUGCAGUUGAUUGCAUAGAAGGAAUUAAGCAGCCCAGUAUGUGUGUGAGAAAGUAAUUUAAGCAAUUACAACAGUAGGGGUUUGGUUUGUAGUCACUUCAAUCACAGCUGAAGAGAAGUUCUCUCAGAGGUUUGAUGCCUUGACAAGACAAAGAACAUUAAAACGAAAGCAACAUCAAUGAGUAACUUGGACUCACCUAAAGUGGCAUACAGAGUAAAAGUUUAGUCUAAUUGCAUUUUCCAGCUAGAGGGCAUAUAAUUGUUGCCCUCAAUCAUGCUUUGUCCACAGAUUUGACUUCUUUCACGUUGUGAUUCAUGUCACGAUUGUUGCUUACAGGUGCAGCUGCAGCCUUCUCUGUCAGCCAUAUCAGAGUACAACGGGGAAUCUGGGGUGAGCUGUCUCUUGGUGUAUUCUCUGCUGUAGGUGCAGGGUGUGUCUUUCUUAUGGGUCUCACCAACAAUAUCUGGCUGUUACGCAGGCUAUGCCAUCUUCAAAGCCUCAUAAAUGUUCCUCAUCACAAUCACAAUGUUUCAGAUAGGGGUUAACCUCUCUAUGGAAUGUUUGGCAUAAACACUUUUGUUGCUCUUACCCUACAAACAAUACUACCUGCUGUUGUGGUGGACAAUACUGCUCUGGGACUGGACAUUGUAACACAGAUACAAAGGUCUGAUCACCAUUCGCUUGCAUUGUAAGGACCUACAGAGCUGAGGUAUUUUUCUAAAAAUUUUGUUUGUGUUGUGCUGAGGAAAGAAAAUCAUACACAUCUGGGAUGGCAUGAGGUGGGUAAAUAAGAGAAUUUUCAUUUUUGGGUGAACUAUCCCUUUAAUUUGCAUCUUCUUUUGUUUCACUUUAUUGUAUAUGGAAGUUACUACAGCACCAUUUCCGUGCUGUUCCUCAUCCAAGGUCUGUACACAGUUUGUAAGCAUUACCGCACAUCUGUAACAGGACCAAACACAGAUAGACCACCUGCUGAAAUCCUAGAGGGUCAAUAUGGACCAGCCAUCAAUGACAAAGAGGAUCUCAGUCCACAUCCACAAAUCACCAACACAACCUGAGAAAGAACAUUCAGUGCCAUAACAUCCCAAACAAAUUAUAAAUAAAUAUAUAUUUUAUUUUUCUGUUAUUAUGCUAAUCUAAUUGGGUACUGUAUGUGGUUGUGUAUUAUUUUUUACAUAUAUCAUGUAUGUAUCAAUAUUCAGAAUUUUUUAUUAAUUUAUCUGUAUAUUUGCAUACACUCGAAAAUGUUUUGUUCCACCCUUUUCCUGUUUACAUUCCAAAAGAUGAACAAUUUUUGUCUGCUCCCCUAAUUAGUAUAAUCCAGAUGCUUGGAAUAGAUAGAAUAAUUAAUUUUCUAAAAUAUUUUUUUGUUAACGUUAUGCCUCAGAAAUUGUUUUCACGAGUUUCACCAAAUAAACAGUUAAACCAGCAAACAUGUACACUUCAUUACAUAGAAACGUCAGGCGCCGCUUCUUUAAUCUAACAACGGAAGUUUAUGAAACGCUCGAGGGAAAAGCGGACGUGAUGUCAACUAUUCAAGAGGCCGCAGUGUAAACUGGGAAAUGAGGUCUAAUAACCUUCGUCUGGCGAAGUUUUAUAUGGCUAAAUUUAGAUCAUUUCCGUUACAGCGAUUCUCAUAUCGUAUUUUUGCAACUAAAUAAAUAUAGACAAUAUCGCGAGAAUAAAGUAGUUAUACUUAGAGAUUAAUCUCAUAACACAACGGAUAAUGAGAUUAGUUUAUCACGGUGGUAGUUUAUUCUUUCAUUUUAAUUUUGACAAUAAAUUAAUUUAAUAUUGAACGAUAAUUAGUAUAUCUAUAUUAAAUGUACUUGAUUACAUUUUAUGUUUAAUAGAAACUUAAAAUAUUUGAUAAAGUUUUACAAUUAAGAUUAAACUAGUUAUAUUUUAUUAUUCAUUAUAUUAAAUGCAUUUCUAGUGUCACGUUCUUUGUUAUGAGUAAACGUGUGAUGACUUCUCUGCUCCACCAUCCAUUGUCUAAUUUAUUUAUUUAUUUAUUUAUUUAUUUAUUAUUAUUAUUAUUAUUAUUAUUAUUAUUAUUAUUAUUUAGCUCUAAUCCUCUUCCAUAUACAUUUAUAGAGACACUGGAAAUAAUUGGUUUUGUGUGUCUAUAAAAUCACUACCAGAGCAUCAGAUU